GCGGACAAAACUGGUCAUAUGCCC
This 24-nucleotide non-coding RNA is filed under the name Arabidopsis thaliana (thale cress). Lineage: Eukaryota; Viridiplantae; Streptophyta; Magnoliopsida; Brassicales; Brassicaceae. The record is from RNAcentral.